AGCCCUAAGUGGGUGGUAAACUCCAUCUAAGGCUAAAUAUGACCACGAGACCGAUAGCGAACAAGUACCGUGAGGGAAAGUUGAAAAGCACUUUGAAGAGAGAGUUCAAGAGUACGUGAAACCGUUUAGGGGUAAACCUGAGAAACCCGAAAGGUCGAAGGGAGAAAUUCAUUCGCGUUUCGAGACUGGCGCGGGGCGUUCGAGUGACGGAAGACGUUCGCGUUUUCCGCGCCUUUCGCUUCGCGAGCCGGAUUCGAACGCGUGCACUUUUCUCCUGGUAGGACGUCGCGAUCCGUUGGGUGUCGGUCUACGGCUCGCGGUGGAGCCCGUUCGUAUUUUUAUACGGGCGGACCCGCGUGUCCCGGCCGACUCGCUCGACGGUAUACGAAUGGUUUAAGGCCGCUGCUCUUUGGAGCGUUCGGCUCGUUGCAAGCGCGCCAGAUUCGGUCGGCGAUCGGACCUAGUGCCGAUUCUGACCACUGGUGACUGUUGGCCGCGAAGUUCUCGAACAGACCUAAACCGAUCUGCGACGCUAUAGCUUUGGGUACUUUCAG
This 554-nucleotide ribosomal RNA is filed under the name Molytinae sp. CNCCOLVG00008147. RNAcentral describes it as "partial 28S ribosomal RNA". It matches the Rfam family "Eukaryotic large subunit ribosomal RNA", at positions 284 to 645 of the family's 3401-position model. Lineage: Eukaryota; Metazoa; Arthropoda; Insecta; Coleoptera; Curculionidae. The record is from RNAcentral.